GUGAACUGAUACUAAUAUAUGGAUAAUCAUAGAUAAUAGAGGAAAGAAAGGACCUCAGAAUUUGAUUAAUCUACAUCGAUUUGGGGUCAGUUUAAACAAAAAUGGAUAUACUUUAAAAGCAAAUACACAACUAACAUACUUCUUUAUCUUAAUGUGACGAAAGAAUGCAGAAAAAAAAUCCUUAUCAGGAUGCUGCGCCCGCAUUUCUUUUCUUUCUCCAACAGGUGGCCUCAGCGACCCAAUGUACUUGAACGGACCUUGCAAUGAUUUUAUAAUCUACCCCUUCAUUUCAAUAAACUUCACCAGAUAUAAAUAAGACUCUGGAAAAUAACUACAGCAAGGCUUAACGGUGAACGGGAUGCGUGAUGAUUUUCUCGUGAAACCUGUUGUGUCAUAAAGCAGUGACCGAGAUCGGUCGCCAAAGGGCCACAGUCACGCGCUUUCAUUCCCAUCGCACUUACUCCUGAAUGGGACAACGUCAGAGCGCCGGUGUGGAAGCGAGCCAGAGGUCUUCGGGAUUUGGCCGCAGAUGCGCACUGUGGCUGCAGGAGGACGCAGCGAGAGCGCUGAGUGACAUUUGAAUCCGGUGGUGUGUAUUAUUAAAUCACAGCAACAGUCAGCGAGCUGGCUUCCAGGGAGGACACAGGACUGUGCAUUUAUUUGUGUUUGCAGGAAAUGGGGUCUGGAUGCUCUUUGGAGGGACUUUACACUGGGAAGUUCGGAUGGAAGCGGUGGGACGUUUGUUUUUAGAUGUGGUAUCAAGCUGCAGCUGACCGCACACUUCAUCUGGCUACUGAUGUGUUCUGUAAGCAGACAGAGGAUUCCUGAGAUUACAUUGGGUUUGGGGCUAAAACAGAACAAGCAGAAGAGAAUCAGUGACUACACCACUGCACUGAGGAAUUAAGGUACAACUACCUCUUCAUCAGUGCAGCUCAGAUGAUGUCAAACCUAUUUUACAAGGUCAGAGGGCAAAUGUCUGUCCCAGAGAGCAUUUGCCUAAAAUGUCUCAUCUUUCAUCAUUUAUCAGAAGAUAAAUUGAUGGAGACUUUUUGCAGUGAUGGAGAACAGGAGCCUCAUAGAAACUAGUGGAUAAAAUGUAGCAAGACUCUUCAGUAUGACAUAAGCACAGAACCCCUUCCUCCCCAA
This 1146-nucleotide long non-coding RNA is filed under the name Oreochromis niloticus (Nile tilapia). RNAcentral's name for it is "lncRNA (ENSONIG00000041812.1)". The record is from RNAcentral. Lineage: Eukaryota; Metazoa; Chordata; Actinopteri; Cichliformes; Cichlidae.